CCUACGGGUGGCUGCAGUGAGGAAUAUUGGUCAAUGGACGAGAGUCUGAACCAGCCAAGUAGCGUGAAGGACGACUGCCCUAUGGGUUGUAAACUUCUUUUAUAUGGGAAUAAAAUAUUCCACGUGUGGGAUUUUGUAUGUACCUUAUGAAUAAGCAUCGGCUAACUCCGUGCCAGCAGCCGCGGUAAUACGGAGGAUCCGAGCGUUAUCCGGAUUUAUUGGGUUUAAAGGGUUCGUAGGCGGUUUUUUAAGUCAGUUGGGAAAGUUUGGGGCUGAACCGUAAAAUUGCAAUUGAAACUGGAAGUCUUGAGUACAGUAGAGGUAGGCGGAAUAAGUGAUGUAGCGGUGAAAUGCUUAGAUAUAACGAAGAACUCCGAUUGCGAAGGCAGCUUACUAGACUGCAACUGACACUGAGGCUCGAGAGUGUGGGUAGCAAACAGGAUUAGAUACCCUUGUAGUC
Molecule: ribosomal RNA, 460 nt
Filed under: uncultured bacterium
Lineage: Bacteria
Description: partial 16S ribosomal RNA
Rfam family: Bacterial small subunit ribosomal RNA
Source: RNAcentral